This 942-nucleotide small RNA is filed under the name Pan troglodytes (chimpanzee). Its description in RNAcentral is "unitary pseudogene". The record is from RNAcentral. Lineage: Eukaryota; Metazoa; Chordata; Mammalia; Primates; Hominidae.
GCCAUUUUUGUGGUGUCCACCAUCUUUCACUGCCACCAGCGCCUGGCUCUGGUGCCUGCGCCCUGGGCAUACUCCGCCCAUGUGGUCCUGGCCCCCAGACACCUGCCCCGGGAGGGCCUGUUCACUAUCAACUCCAAGGGCCGCCUGGGGAACCAGAUGGGCGAGUAUGCCACGCUGUAUGCCCUGGCCAAGAUGAACGGGCGGCCCGCCUUCAUCCCGGCCCAGAUGCACAGCACCCUGGCCCCCAUCUUCAGAAUCACCCUGCCAGUGCUGCACAGCGCCACGGCCAGCAGGAUCCCCUGGCAGAACUACCACCUGAACGACUGGAUGGAGGAGGAGUACCGCCACAUCCCGGGGCGCUAUGUCCGACUCACGGGCUACCCCUGCUCCUGGACCUUCUACCACCACCUCCGCCAGGAGAUCCUCCAGGAGUUCACCCUGCACAACCACGUGCGCGAGGAGGCCCAGAAGUUCCUGCGGGGCCUGCAGGCCAAGUGGGCAGGGCAGGCAACCUUCAUGGGGGUCCAUGUGCGCCGGGGGGACUAUGUCCGUGUCAUGCCACGCGUAUGGAAGGGGGUGCUGGCCGACAGGGGCUACCUGCAGCGGGCCCUGGACUGGUUCCGGGCCUGCUGCCGCCUCCCGGUCUUUGUGGUCACCAGCGAUGACGUGGCCUGGUGCCGGGAGAGCAUCAACAGCUCCCUUGGGGACGUGGUGUUCGCUGGCAAUGGCCUCCAGGGCUCACCUGCCAAGGACUUUGCACUGCUCACACAGUGCAACCACACCAUCAUCACUGUGGGCACCUUCGGGGUCUGGGCCGCGUACCUCGCGGGCGGGGACACUGUCUACCUGGCCAACUUCACCCUGCCCAGCUCCCCUUUCAACGUGGUCUUUAGGCCGUAAGCAGCCUUCCUGCCAGAGUGGGUGGGCCUUGCGGCUGACCUU